CGCUGGCGGCGUGCCUAACACAUGCAAGUCGAACGGGACUGAUUGGAAAGCGGCUUCGGCCAAUGGAAGAUCAGUUUAGUGGCGAACGGGUGAGUAACACGUGAGGAACCUGCCUUUCAGUGGGGGACAACAGUUGGAAACGACUGCUAAUACCGCAUAACACUUUAGUACCGCAUGGUACAGAAGUCAAAGCUUUAUGUGCUGAGAGAUGGUCUCGCGUCUGAUUAGCUAGAUGGCGGGGUAACGGCCCACCAUGGCGACGAUCAGUAGCCGGUCUGAGAGGAUGAACGGCCACAUUGGGACUGAGACACGGCCCAGACUCCUACGGGAGGCAGCAGUGAGGAAUAUUGGGCAAUGGGCGCAAGCCUGACCCAGCAAUGCCGCGUGAAGGAUGAAGGUUUUCGGAUUGUAAACUUCUUUUGUCAAGGACGAUAAUGACGGUACUUGACGAAUAAGCCACGGCUAACUACGUG
Molecule: ribosomal RNA, 473 nt
Filed under: uncultured bacterium
Lineage: Bacteria
Description: bacterial SSU rRNA
Rfam family: Bacterial small subunit ribosomal RNA
Source: RNAcentral